RNAcentral lists this ribosomal RNA (533 nucleotides) under uncultured bacterium. RNAcentral's name for it is "bacterial SSU rRNA". It matches the Rfam family "Bacterial small subunit ribosomal RNA", at positions 356 to 896 of the family's 1533-position model. The record is from RNAcentral.
GGGGAAUAUUGCACAAUGGGCGCAAGCCUGAUGCAGCGACGCCGCGUGGGGGAUGAAGGCCUUCGGGUUGUAAACUCCCUUCGCUAGGGACGAAGCUUUUUGGUGACGGUACCUAGAUAAGAAGCACCGGCUAACUACGUGCCAGCAGCCGCGGUAAUACGUAGGGUGCGAGCGUUGUCCGGAAUUACUGGGCGUAAAGGGCUCGUAGGUGGUUUGUCGCGUCGUCUGUGAAAUUCUGGGGCUUAACUCCGGGCGUGCAGGCGAUACGGGCAUAACUUGAGUGCUGUAGGGGUAACUGGAAUUCCUGGUGUAGCGGUGAAAUGCGCAGAUAUCAGGAGGAACACCGAUGGCGAAGGCAGGUUACUGGGCAGUUACUGACGCUGAGGAGCGAAAGCAUGGGUAGCGAACAGGAUUAGAUACCCUGGUAGUCCAUGCCGUAAACGGUGGGCGCUAGGUGUGAGGGUCUUUCUACGACUUUCGUGCCGUAGCUAACGCAUUAAGCGCCCCGCCUGGGGAGUACGGCCGCAAGGCUA